UUUUUUUUUUUUAGGUUAUCUCUCGAAUUCACCGUGUUUUUUUACAUAGCUUCUUCUAUCCUUUGAGUAGGGGAAGAAAAUCGUUCUCAUCGGUUGGGUGUGGGUUCCCUCCCCAUCCUGACUUGGUGUUAUUGAUAAUUGUUUUGGGUUUUGUUUGGCAAUCUCUAAAGUUUUCAAAGGGAGGGUUGCCUGAAGUAGAUUAGUGAUCUAAGAGCUAGGUGGUUUUAGCUCAGUGUCGUUUGCCUGAAGGGAGGAGCCUUAAAGCUUUGUAGGGACGUCGGCUAUUCUAGGGGUACACACCUCUUCCUCUCUGUUUGAAGGUUGAUCCCCAGGCUAAAAGAGAAUGAGAGACCAGUGAGUUUGCGGCGCCACCCUUCCCGACUAGUCAACGGUUCUGAAGCAUGGAAAAGGAGACCCUUUGCUAGUUUUAUUGAGACCCUUUGAUGGUCUUUGUGCAGUAGCUAUUUUUUCUUAUUUAAGGCGAUGGGUUCUCAAAUAUUUCUUCUGGCAUUUCUAGCUCAGAGCAGGGAGGUGGACGGCGGCGCUGGAAUGUAAAGAUGGCUCUGUUCUUUACUAGGCUAAGGUUUCCUGAUUGUGUUUUGAGCUGGAUUGAUUUAUAUUUGGGUUGAUUUAUUUUGAAACUGGUUUGGGCUUGUGAUUUAUUUCUAGACUUAUUAUUAUAUGUUUUAUCCUCUGAGUCUUGUUUAAUGCAAAGUAAAAGUUUACCG
Molecule: unclassified non-coding RNA, 728 nt
Filed under: Hevea brasiliensis (rubber tree)
Lineage: Eukaryota; Viridiplantae; Streptophyta; Magnoliopsida; Malpighiales; Euphorbiaceae
Source: RNAcentral